ACCAGAUGCCCUCUGCGGUAUCGAAGCAUUGGCCGAGGAAAGUCUGGACUCCACAGAGCAUGGUGGUUGUUAACGGCAACCCGGAGUGAUCCGCGGGAAAGUGCAACAGAGAGUAGACCGCCAUCGAUCCUCGUGGUCGACGGUAAGGGUGAAAGGGUGCGGUAAGAGCGCACCGGCAGGCCAGGUGACUGGUCUGGCCAGGUAAACCCCACCGGGAGCAAGGCAUGAGGAUGCAUCUGAAAAGGUGUGUCUGUGCAGGCGUUAAAGGCUGCUCGCCUAGUCUGCAGGUAGCUGCUGGAGGCAGUCAGCAAUGACUGUCCGAGAUGGAUGUUCACCGCCCUUUGAUGGCGUGGCUUCGGCUGUGGUUUGAAGGGAACAGAAUCCGGCUUAUGUACCGGCUCAU
This 403-nucleotide RNase P RNA is filed under the name uncultured Corynebacterium sp. RNAcentral describes it as "Bacterial RNase P class A". It matches the Rfam family "Bacterial RNase P class A". Rfam says of the family: Ribonuclease P (RNase P) is a ubiquitous endoribonuclease, found in archaea, bacteria and eukarya as well as chloroplasts and mitochondria. Its best characterised activity is the generation of mature 5'-ends of tRNAs by cleaving the 5'-leader elements of precursor-tRNAs. Lineage: Bacteria; Bacillati; Actinomycetota; Actinomycetes; Mycobacteriales; Corynebacteriaceae. The record is from RNAcentral.